CAGAACGAACGCUGGCGGCAGGCCUAACACAUGCAAGUCGAACGGGUCCUUCGGGGACUAGUGGCGGACGGGUGAGUAACGCGUGGGAACGUGCCCCUUGGUACGGAAUAGCCCCGGGAAACUGGGAGUAAUACCGUAUGUGGUCGAGAGACGAAAGAUUUAUCGCCAAGGGAUCGGCCCGCGUUGGAUUAGGUAGUUGGUGGGGUAAUGGCCUACCAAGCCGACGAUCCAUAGCUGGUUUGAGAGGAUGAUCAGCCACACUGGGACUGAGACACGGCCCAGACUCCUACGGGAGGCAGCAGUGGGGAAUAUUGGACAAUGGGCGAAAGCCUGAUCCAGCAAUGCCGCGUGAGUGAUGAAGGCCUUAGGGUUGUAAAGCUCUUUUACCCGAGAUGAUAAUGACAGUAUCGGGAGAAUAAGCUCCGGCUAACUCCGUG
Molecule: ribosomal RNA, 437 nt
Filed under: uncultured bacterium
Lineage: Bacteria
Description: bacterial SSU rRNA
Rfam family: Bacterial small subunit ribosomal RNA
Source: RNAcentral